Molecule: ribosomal RNA, 445 nt
Filed under: uncultured bacterium
Lineage: Bacteria
Description: partial 16S ribosomal RNA
Rfam family: Bacterial small subunit ribosomal RNA
Source: RNAcentral
GUGAGGAAUAUUGGUCAAUGGGCGGGAGCCUGAACCAGCCAAGUCGCGUGAAGGAAGAAGGAUCUAUGGUUCGUAAACUUCUUUUGCAGGGGAAUAAAGUGCAGGACGUGUCCUGUUUUGUAUGUACCCUGAGAAUAAGGAUCGGCUAACUCCGUGCCAGCAGCCGCGGUAAUACGGAGGAUCCGAGCGUUAUCCGGAUUUAUUGGGUUUAAAGGGUGCGUAGGUGGUUUGAUAAGUCAGCGGUGAAAGUUUGCAGCUUAACUGUAAAAAUGCCGUUGAAACUGUCGGACUUGAGUGUAAAUGAGGUAGGCGGAAUGCGUGGUGUAGCGGUGAAAUGCAUAGAUAUCACGCAGAACUCCGAUUGCGAAGGCAGCUUACUAAGCUACAACUGACACUGAAGCACGAAAGCGUGGGGAUCAAACAGGAUUAGAUACUCGUGUAGUCC